Molecule: long non-coding RNA, 1043 nt
Organism: Talpa occidentalis (Iberian mole)
Lineage: Eukaryota; Metazoa; Chordata; Mammalia; Eulipotyphla; Talpidae
Exons: 4
Source: RefSeq, a predicted model, not a curated record
UAAAGGGAACCACAGCCAGAAGGGCUAUGUCCAGUAGCAAUCCCUACAUAUACCCACUGAGCUUUUUAAACAGGGAGGCUGGAAGUUCUACAAUCGUGGGAAAGAACAAAAACAAGAAUAGUUUUUCUUCUCCUAAUGUUCAUGGGUGCUUGCAGGAGUUGCUAAGCUUUGACACCGGAAUCAGAAGAGGAAGGAGGUUCAAAGCUGAAGUAGGUGUUAGGAAGAAGGUGGCUUUGAAGAAUAAGUAGAAAUCAGGAUUGGAGGAAACUACAAAGGAGACCAUUCAAGCAAGAGAUUAGCCUACUUCAGGGGUUAGAAAUUAGUAUUCAAGGGGCUAUUAUCCAAAAUACAUAAAGAACUGUAAAACUCAAAAACAAAAAAAAUCCAAACAACUUAAUUGAAAAUGGACAGAAGGUCUGGAUAGACAUUUCUCCAAAGACAUACAGAUGGCCAAGAGACACAUGAAAAGGUCACUGCUGAUCGCUCACAGUCCAGGGAAAGAGGGGUGCAUGAGCCAUAGAACUCCACAAUGAGUAGAGUGCCUGCUCCUGAAAUUUCUCCACCCUGGAUCUUAUUCUUUAAAGUUUUUUCAACGUGUCAGGUAAAAACUGAAAAUUUCGGACCUCCGUCAUGUACAGGACAUCUGAUACGGUUAUUGGCCAGUAUCCCGGAUGGACUAAGAUACUUGCCUUCUAGCAAGAGAAAGGAAGUCAACAACUGAAGGCAAAUGAACACAGAUUUUCAGAGAAGAGAAAGAAGGCCAUCAGCGUAACUUACUGCAUCAGCAAUGUUGGUAGCCACCACGUCCAUCCAGUUCCAAGAUGUGAAACCUCUGCUGUGAACAUGUGCACUGUGUGAUGUCCAGAUGAGGAGGCCACUGCACCCCCUGCUGUUCAUAGGGAGAUCGUGGCUGAAGGUUGACCUUUUGGAGUCCUGGUAUUCCCAGUCCUGACCACUGGGAUUCCUUAGGGGGUGAGUGUGUGCAGAGAAGAGGGAGAGACAGGAAAAAAUUUCUCUUCUGGGGAACACCUAAACACACAAUU